Molecule: long non-coding RNA, 299 nt
Filed under: Olea europaea (common olive)
Lineage: Eukaryota; Viridiplantae; Streptophyta; Magnoliopsida; Lamiales; Oleaceae
Description: long non-coding RNA (OEUR_LNC011011)
Source: RNAcentral
UUGCCUCUUUCAAUAGGACAUCAUCCUUUUCAGCAACCCGAUACGAUAGUGUGUUGCACCGAUGUGAAAAUGCCCCAACUACUUCCUCAUCCUCUUCAGAGUCAGUCUCAUUAUUACAAUUAGCUUGCGGGACCUCUUGUUUUGAACUUGGCCCGCCACUUGCUAAUUGACAAUAUGCAUUCACCAUCCGCUUCUGAGGACACUUCGAUACCCGAUGAGGUCCUUCACAUAAAAAGCACUUCAAUUUGAGAGUGGCAUCAGUUCGGCCCUCCGUUGCUUUUCCUUUGUUCCAGUUGUUA